CACACUCAACGCCGUCCAGACAAAUGCAUGCAGUUGGUUCAUGCGUGCAACGGAAAUUUGCCACUCACUUUGGUUCUGGACUGCCCUUUUUCGCAGCUAAUGCUGAGUUGUCUCCUUCUCGAGACGUUCUCCUCGGGAAUCCAUUUAAAACGCGUAACGGCCUAUUAAUAAGCCGUCGUUCCGAGCCAACGUUCUAAGAUCUCGUGAAAGGAACCAGGAGUGGCAGAUAAUGGUAGACGUUAUCGUUCCUCUGGAAAUAAAGAUUCGGCAUCGUUAUCUUGCGUGUACAGCGUCUCCAUUACAACAGAUACUGUCAUCUGAUUCUUUCAACCUGCCACGCGCAUAAUCCACUUCUAUUUUAAUCCUUGCAAGAGCUCAGUGGACAGCAAAGGUGACCCUUCAGAUACCUAAUAUCCUUUUUCUGCCGCUAAAUAAUAAACGUAACACUAUCUUCAAAAUUGUUACUUUGUAUUUAUGCACGUUUUUUUUCUUUGUGAAAACUAU
Long non-coding RNA from Spea bombifrons (plains spadefoot toad), 504 nucleotides. RefSeq lists it as uncharacterized. The transcript is spliced from 3 exons. Lineage: Eukaryota; Metazoa; Chordata; Amphibia; Anura; Pelobatidae. The record is from RefSeq and is a predicted model, not a curated record.